RNAcentral lists this long non-coding RNA (240 nucleotides) under Elaeis guineensis (African oil palm). RNAcentral's name for it is "long non-coding RNA (EGUI_LNC030225)". Lineage: Eukaryota; Viridiplantae; Streptophyta; Magnoliopsida; Arecales; Arecaceae. The record is from RNAcentral.
UCUAUUGGACGCUCUGCUCUACCAUCGAUCCUUUAUCGGUGCUCUACUUGCGUCUACUCUGUCGGCUACACUUUGUAAUCUUCACAAGCUGUCAGGCAUUCUUUAUGGGCCCCAAAACUCAAUACAGAUCGAAGACACACUUCUAAUUAAACUUUAGAAAUCCAACCACCAUUUGAUCACGCCUGCGAACUCUCCUGGCCGUUGGAUUGUGCAAACAGGGUUGUAGACUGCCCGUAGACC